UACGGGGGAUGCAAGCGUUAUCCGGAAUGAUUGGGCGUAAAGCGUCUGUAGGUGGUUGGUGAAGUCUACUGUUAAAGAUUAGGGCUUAACCCUAGGAAGGCAGUAGAAACUCACUAGCUAGAGUACGGUAGGGGCAGGGGGAAUUCCCGGUGUAGCGGUGAAAUGCGGAGAUAUCGGGAAGAACACCAAUGGCGAAAGCACUCUGCUGGGCCGACACUGACACUGAGAGACGAAAGCUAGGGGAGCAAACGGG
This 253-nucleotide ribosomal RNA is filed under the name uncultured bacterium. Its description in RNAcentral is "partial 16S ribosomal RNA". It matches the Rfam family "Bacterial small subunit ribosomal RNA", at positions 524 to 776 of the family's 1533-position model. The record is from RNAcentral.